Triticum aestivum (bread wheat) is the source of this 97-nucleotide non-coding RNA. The record is from Rfam. NCBI's taxonomy places the organism in Eukaryota, Viridiplantae, Streptophyta, Magnoliopsida, Poales, Poaceae.
UGCAGACGACUUAAAUACGCGACGGGGCAUUGUAAGUGGCAGAGUGGCCUUGCUGCCACGAUCCACUGAGAUCCAGCCCCAUGUCGCACGGAUUCGA